GCAAGUCGAACGCAUUUAGUUGCGUGGCGAACGAGGUAGUAACACGUAGGACUACAAACCCCAAAGUCAGGGAUAACCUGGAGAAAUCCAGAAUAAUACCUGAUAGUAUCGCGAGAUUAAAGAUUUAUCGCUUUGGGAUUGGCCUGCGGAGUAUCAGCUUGUUGGUAGUGUAAUGGACUACCAAGGCUAUGACGCUUAGGGGAGGUGAGAGCCUGGCC
RNAcentral lists this ribosomal RNA (218 nucleotides) under uncultured bacterium. Its description in RNAcentral is "partial 16S ribosomal RNA". It matches the Rfam family "Bacterial small subunit ribosomal RNA", at positions 57 to 305 of the family's 1533-position model. The record is from RNAcentral.